UUUCACGUUCAUCACAUUGGCCAUUCGGCCUUAUCUCAUAUAUACACAUUCACAUUCAUCACAUAAAAUUCUGAAUCAAAAUAUAAAUUUUCACAUAUUCACAUCACAAUUAUCCAAAUAUACUUCAUAUACCACAUAAACUUUCAUGUAUACACUUUGUCUUGGCUGAAUCUACAUCUAUCAUUUUCCAAUGAAUAAUUCAAUUUCAA
Molecule: long non-coding RNA, 209 nt
Filed under: Gossypium barbadense (sea-island cotton)
Lineage: Eukaryota; Viridiplantae; Streptophyta; Magnoliopsida; Malvales; Malvaceae
Description: long non-coding RNA (GBAR_LNC004499)
Source: RNAcentral